CAAAAACAUCAUUUAUGUUUUAUUAAGUUAGUUUUUGGUAAUAAGGAGAGCAACUGGGUAAAUUUAGAAACUGAGAUUGAAGGAUUUGCAGUUAGCUAUUUUAAUGAUUUGUUUUCCUCCUCGUCAACAUCCAAGGCUGAUUGUUUUUAGAGGAAGUUCCACAAUUGGUAACAGAUGCUUAGAAUAUUAGGUUACUGGCUCAGGCUUGGGAAGAAGAGGGCGAAGCUACGUUAGGGAGCAUGGUGGCACGUGCACCCAUAGUUAUUUUGAUAUCAAACAUUUUACAUGUAAAAACAGUAAAUUUUCAGUGGCUCAGAUGGUAAAACUAAGCAUGGUGCACCCAUAAUAUCACUGGUUCAAUUCCCCUUUCAUGUGUAUUUUAUUUUUAUUACUAGUGAUGCACCCAGUUAAGAAGACUUCUAGAUUCGCCCCUGAGAUGAGGCAAAUAUUAUUUAUGAUGCACUCUGAGAAAGCCUCGGAUCAAAUGGGAUGACAUCAUUGUUCUAUCAGCAAUCAUGGUCAAUAGUUAAAGAGGAUUAUGUAAUCACGUGUGAUCAC
Molecule: long non-coding RNA, 558 nt
Filed under: Brassica napus (rape)
Lineage: Eukaryota; Viridiplantae; Streptophyta; Magnoliopsida; Brassicales; Brassicaceae
Description: long non-coding RNA (BNAP_LNC007779)
Source: RNAcentral